UGUGGGAGCGAGCUUGCUCGCGAUGACGGUGGUUCAGUCGAUGAUGAGGUCGACUGACAGGCCGCUAUCGCGAGCAAGCUCGCUCCCACA
This 90-nucleotide unclassified non-coding RNA is filed under the name Pseudomonas thivervalensis. Lineage: Bacteria; Pseudomonadati; Pseudomonadota; Gammaproteobacteria; Pseudomonadales; Pseudomonadaceae. The record is from RNAcentral.